CUAAGUACCCCGAGGAAAAGAAAUCAACCGAGAUUCCCCCAGUAGCGGCGAGCGAACGGGGAGCAGCCCAGAGCCUGAAUCAGUGUGUGUGUUAGUGGAAGCGUCUGGAAUGGCGUGCGAUACAGGGUGACAGCCCCGUACACAAAAAUGCACAUACUGUGAGCUCGAUGAGUAGGGCGGGACACGUGGUAUCCUGUCUGAAUAUGGGGGGACCAUCCUCC
Molecule: ribosomal RNA, 221 nt
Filed under: Shigella flexneri
Lineage: Bacteria; Pseudomonadati; Pseudomonadota; Gammaproteobacteria; Enterobacterales; Enterobacteriaceae
Description: partial 23S ribosomal RNA
Rfam family: Bacterial large subunit ribosomal RNA
Source: RNAcentral